UGCGCUGUUGGUGUGGGGAACACAUAUCGUUCGUACUGGCGUAAUGCGCGUGUUUGGCGCGCGCCUGCGCAC
This 72-nucleotide transfer RNA is filed under the name Salmonella enterica. RNAcentral describes it as "tRNA-Thr(cgt)". RNAcentral also lists the same sequence under 3 other names. Lineage: Bacteria; Pseudomonadati; Pseudomonadota; Gammaproteobacteria; Enterobacterales; Enterobacteriaceae. The record is from RNAcentral.